This is a long non-coding RNA of Triticum aestivum (bread wheat), 2495 nucleotides long. RefSeq lists it as uncharacterized. NCBI's taxonomy places the organism in Eukaryota, Viridiplantae, Streptophyta, Magnoliopsida, Poales, Poaceae. The record is from RefSeq and is a predicted model, not a curated record. The transcript is spliced from 6 exons.
ACUCCACGCGUCCUAUGGAAUCUGCCGUCGCAAACUUAUCUCCACAUUUUCUCAUCACAUAACAAUCCAAUCUCCCCUAAGACACGCCGCCGCUGCCGCCAGGAUCCUCCCCCUGCGCAUCUCCCGCACACCCCAUCACCUCUGCAUGCCGGCGGAUCUCGCGCUCCACCGGCGGCCGCCGUCGCUCCAGCACCGACGGGCACUCUCGGCCCUUUUUUUCUUCUGGUUUUUCAGAUCAGAUCGGCUCUGUCACUCCUCCCGCUCGAGGCCGCCGUCGCAAGCUCGAGCACCACCUUCGCUGCCCCCUCCCCCUCCAAAUCAGACACGGGUCGGUCUCGCGCGCGAGCACGGCGUCGCCCACGGCCCGCAGCCCCGGAGCAACAUGUCGACGCUCGCACUUCGCAGGAACCAGGAGCCCCACGACUGCUUCCCUUUCUUUAGCUCGCUGCCGAGCGUCUCCGGCCAAGCCGCGCGCCGAGAGACGGCCAUGGCCGCCCGAUGCCCGAGCGCCACCGGCCAAGGACCCGCCGGCGUCCAGACCCCCUCCACGCCAUCCCCAUCUCGCUGGAGACCUGCACCAAAUCCCAUCCAGCACCGCGCCACCCUUCGGUCCCCGCCCCGCAGUUCUGCAGCCUGAGCGCUUCAGCCGCCUCGCGCUCGAAGCAGAGGAGAGGAGCUCCCUGCCACGAGCCUCUUCAGCACCGGCAAACCAGUAGGCCGACCCCUUCCUUGGCUCCUGCGGCGUGGAUGCCGGCGGCAAGUGGCCGCCCAUGCCCGGCGGUGGAGAACGCAAAUGGACAAGCGGCGGUGGUGCCCGGUGGUGAAGCAGUUUAAUUAAGGAGCGUGGGUACAAUUGUAACUAAUGCACGGGUGUUUUUGCAAACAGCAAACUGUUUUUUAAUACCCACUUAAAACAGGACCGCGGGUUGAAUUCUCAAAAUCGGAGGGGCCUUUCUGUAAAAUUGCCACGACGUACGACCAGAAGCACUCCGUGCUUUAUUAGUAGGGAAAGAGGUAAAGAUUGAAAUAUCUAAAAAAGAUUUAUACUUCGUAUUUAGGAACCAAGGAAGUGCAGUUGUGACUCUCAGUCUCACUCUCUCCUCACCGCUCUCACUUUCUCCUCACCGCUUAGCCCUUUUCCCUUCAUGCUACGAAUACUUUUCACUUUCCAGAAAUACCCUCCCACCACCGCUCUCACACACUCGAGCUCACACUCUUGUCCCCCUCUCACCCACCCCUUCUCGCUCCCCUCCAGAUCCCCACUGUCGUCGGCCUCUCCUCGCCGCCGUCACCGGCCUCUCCUCGACUCCCUUUCUCUCCACCACCAUGCACCCCGUUUCCUCCCACCGCGCACCCCGCACCGUAGGUCAAAAGCUUGAUUUUUUAGGCGCCAGCGACAAGCUUCUGGGCGGCGGGGGCUAGAUCCGCGUGCGUCCAUGCCGGCUUCGCAGCGGUGCUUGAUGUGGAGUGGCGCUGGAGCAGCGGAGCGGGGCUUUCUUCCUCACCUCACAGUGCCGUCCUCCUCCACGACCAUGCAACCGCAACAGCGGAGGAGCCGAAUCCCUAGCCAGCGAGCUCAGGUAGCCAUGGGUCCAUGGGGCGACGCCAUGGAAGGGCCACCAACUACACCAGCGAGGAGAGGAGAAAGAGAGUAGCCUGAUGGUCGUCUUCCACCUCCGCCUAUGCCCCCACCCUCCACCUCCACCUACGCCCCCGCCGGAGAUAGUACAAUGGCCAAGGAAAUAGGCAGGAGGCGCUGCUUCCCGGAUGGACAUGGACAUGCUUCUCCAACUCUGCUUCUUCCUGGGUCGCCAUGGAAGCUUAAACAAGUAUAGGACGGGUAGAUGUCGCGGGCUGGAUUUUGUGCGGGCAUGUGGGACACUGCGCGAUGGCUGUCAUACGAGGCGGGGGAUCGAAUGAGGUGGUCGAACCACGAGUGGAGAAAGUAGUAAGAAUCUAAGAAAGCCGAAGCCUUCCAGCACACUGCAACAAUAGGAAGAGCACAAGUCGAACAGGGACACAACUCACACACUACGGUGGACAGAAAGGUAACUACAUUGCUGAAAUAGUUGAUGAUGGCAAACCUAGGGCAUGAUGGGCACCGUUGAAUAUAACAAAGGUGGAUCUCCAUCCUUUGUAGCAACAGCCAUCGCCUCGCAACAGGAUCUUCGUCCUUUGCAGCAACAGCCGUCGCCUCGCAACAGCCAUCGAGCGAAGGUUAUGUUUCGGACGCCGAGGUUGCGGUGUAGUUGUGAUGAUCACACAACUGGGUCGAUGGAGCUCGUACGCGAGGAAGAACUGGCAUUUAUGUCCUUGGUGGCAACGUGCGUUGGCGGGUCGAUGGAGCUUGUUCGAUGGUUUGAUUUUUGGUAGAUGGACCUCGUUCGUGGGUUGCCGAACUGUUUUGUUUGUUGGCUAGGUGUGUGAUAGUGGGGUUUGGCUCGUUUGACUGGUGGUCCAUGGGCCGAAUAUCGAAUGAGUUGGCCUUGGUUUUU